RNAcentral lists this ribosomal RNA (207 nucleotides) under uncultured bacterium. RNAcentral describes it as "partial 16S ribosomal RNA". It matches the Rfam family "Bacterial small subunit ribosomal RNA", at positions 568 to 774 of the family's 1533-position model. The record is from RNAcentral.
CGCGCAGGCGGUUCUUCAAGUCAGAGGUGAAAGCCCAGGGCUCAACCCUGGAAUGGCCUUUGAGACUAGAGGACUUGGGUACGGGAGAGGUGAGUGGAAUUCCGAGUGUAGAGGUGAAAUUCGUAGAUAUUCGGAAGAACACCAGUGGCGAAGGCGGCUCACUGGCCCGUUACCGACGCUCAGGCGCGACAGCGUGGGGAGCAAACA